RNAcentral lists this long non-coding RNA (707 nucleotides) under Monodelphis domestica (gray short-tailed opossum). RNAcentral's name for it is "lncRNA (ENSMODG00000047796.1)". Lineage: Eukaryota; Metazoa; Chordata; Mammalia; Didelphimorphia; Didelphidae. The record is from RNAcentral.
AGGGAGGAUGCUAGCAAUUGUGAGAAAAUCCAGAAACACUUCAGGUAAAACAGAGUUUUUCAUCUAAAAUCUGUGAACAACCAAUACCACCUCUCCCCUCUAGAUGUAAGAGUCUCCAUAAAUUUGGCUCACUCUCUCUCUCUUAAGAGAAAACAAGUGGGGACCAUAAUAGACAACAACCUCCUCUUGACUUUGAACUACAACUAGAGGGAAUCCCACUAUUCCGGAAAAGCUCAAGGUAUGUAUGGACAAUUGGUUCUCCAGCUAAUUCUCUUUCCUUUUGUUUGCCUCUACUGGUAGAGGGAGUCAGAUCACGUUCUUAUCACUCUCCAGUCUUUCUUUUGCUCACCUCUCUCCCUCUGUCUCAAAGUAAAUCUCACCUUUCUUCCUCUUCUCUCCCCCAUGUCAUAUUUCCUAGGAGAGGAUGGAUACUUGAAGACUUAAAGCAAGAGCUCGCUGAGCUGGGCAUUCCCUUAGAUGACCUACCUGGGUUAGAAGCAAGUGGGGAGUCACUUGAUAUUGAAGCUUUAUUACCAUCCAUCUUUGCUGCCUGCUUUUGUGGGUGUCCUCUGAAUACAAGGACUGUGUUGCAUCCCUGCUCUCCUUCAGCCAUCUCCAGAGCAGUCAACCUAAAGUUCCCUCAAUCAGAACCUAGGAAGAAGCCAGAACCAGCCAUAGUUAAAGCCCCAAGUGACAGGAAGCUGUGA